Molecule: ribosomal RNA, 456 nt
Filed under: uncultured bacterium
Lineage: Bacteria
Description: bacterial SSU rRNA
Rfam family: Bacterial small subunit ribosomal RNA
Source: RNAcentral
UACGGGAGGCAGCAGUGGGGAAUAUUGCACAAUGGGCGAAAGCCUGAUGCAGCUAUGCCGCGUGUAUGAAGAAGGCCUUAGGGUUGUAAAGUACUUUCAUCGGGGAGGAAAAACAAAACUAAUAAUUUUAUUUCUUGACGUUACCCGAAAAAGAAGCACCGGCUAACUCCGUGCCAGCAGCCGCGGUAAUACGGAGGGUGCUAGCGUUAAUCAGAAUUACUGGGCGUAAAGAGCACGUAGGUGGUUUUUUUAAAGUCAGAUGUGAAAUCCCUGGGCUUAACCUAGGAACUGCAUUUUGAAACUGAAAUACUAGAGUAUCGUAGAGGGAGGUAGAAUUCUAGGUGUAGCGGUGAAAUGCGUAGAUAUCUGGAGGAAUACCUGCGGCGAAAGCGGCCUCCUAAACGAAUACUGACACUGAGGUGCGAAAGCGUGGGGAGCAAACAGGGAUUAGAUACC